UUUGAUCCUGGCUCAGAUUGAACGCUGGCGGCAGGCCUAACACAUGCAAGUCGAACGGUAACAGGAAGCAGCUUGCUGCUUUGCUGACGAGUGGCGGACGGGUGAGUAAUGUCUGGGGAUCUGCCCGAUGGAGGGGGAUAACCACUGGAAACGGUGGCUAAUACCGCAUAACGUCGCAAGACCAAAGUGGGGGACCUUCGGGCCUCACACCAUCGGAUGAACCCAGAUGGGAUUAGCUAGUAGGUGGGGUAACGGCUCACCUAGGCGACGAUCCCUAGCUGGUCUGAGAGGAUGACCAGCCACACUGGAACUGAGACACGGUCCAGACUCCUACGGGAGGCAGCAGUGGGGAAUAUUGCACAAUGGGCGCAAGCCUGAUGCAGCCAUGCCGCGUGUAUGAAGAAGGCCUUCGGGUUGUAAAGUACUUUCAGCGGGGAGGAAGGGAUGGCGCUUAAUACGCGCCGUCAUUGACGUUACCCGCAGAAGAAGCACCGGCUAACUCCGUGCCAGCAGCCGCGGUAAUACGGAGGGUGCAAGCGUUAAUCGGAAUUACUGGGCGUAAAGCGCACGCAGGCGGUCUGUUAAGUCAGAUGUGAAAUCCCCGGGCUUAACCUGGGAACUGCAUUUGAAACUGGCAGGCUUGAGUCUCGUAGAGGGGGGUAGAAUUCCAGGUGUAGCGGUGAAAUGCGUAGAGAUCUGGAGGAAUACCGGUGGCGAAGGCGGCCCCCU
RNAcentral lists this ribosomal RNA (729 nucleotides) under Mixta gaviniae. RNAcentral describes it as "bacterial SSU rRNA". It matches the Rfam family "Bacterial small subunit ribosomal RNA", at positions 12 to 730 of the family's 1533-position model. Lineage: Bacteria; Pseudomonadati; Pseudomonadota; Gammaproteobacteria; Enterobacterales; Erwiniaceae. The record is from RNAcentral.